This 371-nucleotide ribosomal RNA is filed under the name uncultured eukaryote. RNAcentral describes it as "SSU rRNA". It matches the Rfam family "Eukaryotic small subunit ribosomal RNA", at positions 587 to 972 of the family's 1831-position model. The record is from RNAcentral.
AGCUCCAAUAGCGUAUAUUAAAGUUGUUGCAGUUAAAAAGCUCGUAGUUGGAUUUCUGGCGGGGACCCAAGUACCCCUGCAGGGUGUGCUCGGGCCCGGCCAUCCUUCUGUCAACCCUCACGGUCGUUUACUCGUCCGAGUUGGUGAUCAGAUAAUUUACCUUGAGAAAAUUAGAGUGUUUCAGGCAGGCUUAGCCGGAAUACAUUAGCAUGGAAUAAUGGAAUAGGACUGAUGUCUCGUUGUUGGUUACGCGGACAACAGUAAUGAUUAAUAGGGACAGUUGGGGGCAUUAGUAUUUAUUAGCUAGAGGUGGAAUUCUCUAAUUUGAUAAAGACUAACUUAUGCGAAAGCAUUUGCCAAGGAUGUUUUCA